CGAUCGGGAGGAGGAGUCGGAGUCUAUCGAGCCGUCCGAUCCCGAAGAGGGGGCAGGUGAAGGUGGCCAUCGCGGUGGGGCUGGCCCACUCCGUCGCCGCUUUCUUCGCCCGGGCUCCCGUCCCCCGGCUCACCCGGUCCGCUUCCUGACGCCCGUCGCUCCCCGGAGAGGUGGGGAGGGGGGGAAUCGCUCAUCCUGUCACUUCCAGUGGCUCUUCUUAGUUUCACACACAACUUCUUGCUUGGUUCCUUAAGAAACAUCCAACUCCAACCUUUUAUUUCGGUUUCUAGUUCUGCGAAAUUUUGUUAAUAAAUAAAGUCCCAGUUAGAUGUGAAAGAAAAUGACACCCUCAUAAAGAGAUCGAGCCUCCCCUUUCCAAUAUCCGAAUUCUUUAUCUACUCUCUCUCAUCCAAAGGUUUUCAUACCUUCUACUGCAAUGCAAGGAGAUCCUUCUUGUUUGAUGCAUGGGAAGCUGGGGAUGUAACAAUACCAUAUUCCUCUCUAACGGCUUAUUAAAAUCCAGACCACAAAACGUAUCUGAAAUGUUAGUGAAAACCCAAGGUCUCGAUGCACGGAGCUCACUCCAAUAGAGUUGAGGACAGAACAAACUGGAACCAUCUCUGAUCGCGCAUUCAUCUUUUCUUUGAUGGAUGAGCCAUGUGAAAUUUUUUAAUAAUAAAAUUAAAGUGUGGAGACACAGUUUGAACUCAGCAUCAUAUUAUGUUAAAAUCAACAUUUAUCUUAAAAACUUAAAUUUAUAGAAUGAAAUAGAUGUAUUAUAUAUUUUAUAUUUUUUACCGAACUCGGAGCUUGUGUGGGUUGAAAGCCACAACAAAUGACACCAUUUGUCUUCUAGCCGUAGUUACAGUGAAUGCUAUCAACAAUCACUGGCUAUCUAGAGUGCAAUCAACAAAAGAUAAGAAGCUCAUAAAAAAGAGAAACACAUCGAGCUUCCUUCGGUCAGCUAACUAAUGUUCAUCU
RNAcentral lists this long non-coding RNA (981 nucleotides) under Phoenix dactylifera (date palm). Its description in RNAcentral is "long non-coding RNA (PDAC_LNC014876)". The record is from RNAcentral. Lineage: Eukaryota; Viridiplantae; Streptophyta; Magnoliopsida; Arecales; Arecaceae.